UUGACAGUUCUGAAGACUGAAAUUCUUAGUUUAUCCACAGAACAGAUACAGUUUGCAUAGCAGUGGUGUAAACUUCCCAAUACUGUUCCACCAAGGAGCCCAACCCUUCUAUGGACCUGGUAUGGAUGGAGCAACUCUAGGAAUGAGUUGCAAUCUACUCAUGCUCUCUGAUUAGUCAGUCCCUGGCCUCU
Chrysemys picta bellii (western painted turtle) is the source of this 191-nucleotide unclassified non-coding RNA. NCBI's taxonomy places the organism in Eukaryota, Metazoa, Chordata, Testudines, Emydidae. The record is from Ensembl.